GGACGCUUGCUAUGUGACGCCACUUGGAAGGGACCCACCUACAGUGGCGGAAGUGGAGUAAGACAUCAUGUUGCCUCAAGUUUAAUUGGAAAUCGCGUGCCUUGUGAAGAAUGGACACUCAGUAGAUGCUUAUUGAUGAACCUGUUGGUUGAGGAUAACUCGCUAACUUUUCUGAGCUUUGUUGGAAAAACUAGACAGGGGUCUCACUAUGUGAUGCAGGAUGAUCUCAAACUCCCUGGCCUCAAGCGAUCCUCCUGCCUUGGUCUCCUAAAGUGCUGGGAUUACAGCAGGUCACUGUAUCUCUAUGCAUUACAGAAAAUGGCUAGUUAAAAACUUGUCAAGAGAUGGGGUUUUACUAUGUUGGAGAAGCUGGUCUCAAACUCCUGGGCUCAAGUCAUCCUCCCGCCUCAGCCUCCCAAAGUGCUGAGAUUACAGACACCCAAACACACUUGGAGGUCAUGUUCAAUAUGAAUACCUCACAGAGAAGGAAAUUUACACACAAGAAGUACAUCUGCAGAAAGCCAGCUGGCAUGUCAACCAUUCAAAAACUCAGGAAGUUCGGGAUAAAGAAGACUCAGGAAGACAAGUAUGAAGCAUAAUCUGCGACGUUCCAUGCGGCAGACGUUAGACACAUACAAGAGAGUUGUUGAAAAGUGGAAUUUAUCUUCAUAUAAACAACACUGAGCUAAAUCUCAAUAUUUCAGAUCUCUAGAACUAUCCAUCAAUGAAAUGGAUUGCAAAUAGAAAGAGUAAUACCAUGUCACUUAAGAAUACAAUCAUGGACGAUGCUGCCACCUGCUGUUGGGGGCCACUGCAGAAGAAAUUCCAGAACACUGGACUGGAGAGCACCUCACUUUCCUUACAGCUCUAAGUUUCUGACUCAGUGACCUGAUUCAGUACCAUAUACACAAAGACCCACUUACACAAAUGACUGUUCUUCACACUAGGCCCAUGGAGACAGGGAUAAAAUUCUGAAUUUGCUCAGAUACCUUCUCUGCUAUUGACAUCUAGGCAUUACACAAUUCAUCUCUUCAUACUUAACCUUUGAAGUUUGCUACUUCUCAGAGAGACUAAUGAGUAGUGAGCAAAUAUCCUGAAGCUGAGAAUGCUUCUACCUCCUCUCAAAACAACAGAAUAUUCAUCAAAACACAGCAGUUCUGCACUUAACUUUAGGCCUUUUCUAACACCUCAUUUCUUGGCAGUAACUGUGGCCAGAAUAGCUCUUUCCACAGAGAAAGGACCUUUUGAAAGGAUAGGGUCUCUAGAUAGAAAAGCAAAUGCCUCAUUCCAGAAGGUCUUCAAGAAGAAAAUGUUGUGGUGAUAACAAACAUAACUGAUUAUAAUCUAUUCUGUGAAAAAAGCUUAUGAAACAGUAGAUGUGUGUAUCUAGUACAUAAGAGCUGAAUGUCAAUAUAUAUAUAUAUAUAGAUAUAUACACACACUCAAAUAAAUAAUAGUUAUCUCUAACUAGAGAAAUUCUAGUUGCCUUAUAUUUUCUUCUUUUUCCUUACUAUAUUUUCUACAAUAAACAUGUGUUUUUAACAAGAAAAAAAAAAAAAAAAAAAAAAAAA
This 1571-nucleotide long non-coding RNA is filed under the name Homo sapiens (human). RNAcentral's name for it is "METTL14 divergent transcript (METTL14-DT)". The record is from RNAcentral. Lineage: Eukaryota; Metazoa; Chordata; Mammalia; Primates; Hominidae.